RNAcentral lists this ribosomal RNA (477 nucleotides) under uncultured Fusibacter sp. RNAcentral describes it as "bacterial SSU rRNA". It matches the Rfam family "Bacterial small subunit ribosomal RNA", at positions 907 to 1382 of the family's 1533-position model. Lineage: Bacteria; Bacillati; Bacillota; Clostridia; Eubacteriales; Fusibacteraceae. The record is from RNAcentral.
UGAAUUGACGGGACCCGCACAAGCAGCGGAGCAUGUGGUUUAAUUCGAAGCAACGCGAAGAACCUUACCAGAUCUUGACAUCCAAUUGACCAUCUUUUAAUCGAGAUUUUGCCUUCGGGUACAAUUGAGACAGGUGGUGCAUGGUUGUCGUCAGCUCGUGUCGUGAGAUGUUGGGUUAAGUCCCGCAACGAGCGCAACCCUUGUGUUUAGUUGCAAACAGGUCAAGCUGUGCACUCUAGACAGACUGCCGUGGACAACACGGAGGAAGUGGGGAUGACGUCAAAUCAUCAUGCCCCUUAUGAUCUGGGCUACACACGUGCUACAAUGGCCGGUACAACGGGCAGCGAAGGAGCGAUCCGGAGCGAAUCCUAAAAAGCCGGUCCCAGUUCGGAUUGCAGGCUGAAACUCGCCUACAUGAAGUUGGAGUUGCUAGUAAUCGCGAAUCAGAAUGUCGCGGUGAAUGCGUUCCCGGGCCUU